AUACGUAGGGGGCAAGCGUUGUCCGGAAUUACUGGGCGUAAAGGGUGCGCAGGCGGCUUGGUUAGUCAGAAGUGAAAGUUUGCAGCUUAACUGUAAAAGUGCUUUUGAUACUGCCUGGCUUGAGUCUCGGAGGGGUAAGCGGAAUUCCUAGUGUAGCGGUAAAAUGCGUAGAGAUUAGGAAGAACACCGGCGGCGAAGGCGGCCUGCUGGACGACAACUGACGCUGAGGCGCGAAAGCGUGGGGAGCAAACAGGAUUAGAUACCCUGGUAGUCCACGCUGUAAACGAUGAAUACUAGGUGUGGGGGGACUGACCCCCUCCGUGCCGCAGUUAACACAAUAAGUAUUCCACCUGGGGAGUACGAUCGCAAGAUUGAAACUUAAAGGAAUUGACGGGG
Molecule: ribosomal RNA, 396 nt
Filed under: uncultured bacterium
Lineage: Bacteria
Description: partial 16S ribosomal RNA
Rfam family: Bacterial small subunit ribosomal RNA
Source: RNAcentral